Molecule: long non-coding RNA, 95 nt
Organism: Xenia sp. Carnegie-2017
Lineage: Eukaryota; Metazoa; Cnidaria; Anthozoa; Malacalcyonacea; Xeniidae
Exons: 3
Source: RefSeq, a predicted model, not a curated record
CUGGUAUCGUACCGCAAAAAAUUGUGCUGAUGUCGUACUGUUAGCAAAUGUUGGUGGUGUAGUAGCCGUAACAAUUCCAUGUACUCUGGUUGAAA